RNAcentral lists this ribosomal RNA (382 nucleotides) under uncultured prokaryote. Its description in RNAcentral is "bacterial SSU rRNA". It matches the Rfam family "Archaeal small subunit ribosomal RNA", at positions 339 to 725 of the family's 1478-position model. The record is from RNAcentral.
GCGCGAAAACUUUGCAAUGCGGGAAACCGUGACAAGGGAACUCCGAGUGCCCGUAAAUUCGGGCUGUCCGCCAGUUUAAAUAACUGGUGAAGAAAGGGCCGGGCAAGACCGGUGCCAGCCGCCGCGGUAAUACCGGCGGCUCGAGUGGUGGCCACUAUUACUGGGCUUAAAGCGUUCGUAGCUGGCCUGUUAAGUCUCUGGGGAAAUCUUCCGGCUUAACCGGAAGGCGUCGCAGGGAUACUGGCAGGCUAGGGACCGGUAGAGGUGAGGGGUACUCCAGGGGUAGGGGUGAAAUCCUGUAAUCCUUGGGGGACCACCUGUGGCGAAGGCGUCUCACCAGAACGGCUCCGACAGUGAGGAACGAAAGCUGGGGGAGCAAACC